AUCGCUUCUCAGCCUUUUGGCUAAGAUCAAACGUAGUAUCUCUUCUUAUCAGUUUAAUAUCUGAUACAUCCUCUAUCCGAGGACAAUAUAUUAAAUAUAUUUUUGGAGUUGGGAGAUGGAAUAGGAGCUUGCUCAAAAAAAAAAAAAAAAUUUGUGAAGGUCUUUUUUCCCUUUC
Molecule: small nuclear RNA, 175 nt
Filed under: Aotus nancymaae (Ma's night monkey)
Lineage: Eukaryota; Metazoa; Chordata; Mammalia; Primates; Aotidae
Description: U2 spliceosomal RNA (ENSANAG00000001509.1)
Rfam family: U2 spliceosomal RNA
About the family: U2 is a small nuclear RNA (snRNA) component of the spliceosome (involved in pre-mRNA splicing). Complementary binding between U2 snRNA (in an area lying towards the 5' end but 3' to hairpin I) and the branchpoint sequence (BPS) of the intron results the bulging out of an unpaired adenosine, on the BPS, which initiates a nucleophilic attack at the intronic 5' splice site, thus starting the first of two transesterification reactions that mediate splicing.
Source: Rfam by way of RNAcentral